This 497-nucleotide ribosomal RNA is filed under the name uncultured bacterium. RNAcentral describes it as "partial 16S ribosomal RNA". It matches the Rfam family "Bacterial small subunit ribosomal RNA", at positions 28 to 507 of the family's 1533-position model. The record is from RNAcentral.
GAUGAACGCUGGCGGCGUGCCUAAUACAUGCAAGUCGAGCGAACGGACGAGAAGCUUGCUUCUCUGAUGUUAGCGGCGGACGGGUGAGUAACACGUGGAUAACCUACCUAUAAGACUGGGUUAACUUCGGGAAACCGGAGCUAAUACCGGAUGAUAUUUUGAACCGCAUGGUUCAAAAGUGAAAGACGGUCUUGCUGUCACUUAUAGAUGGAUCCGCGCUGCAUUAGCUAGUUGGUAAGGUAACGGCUUACCAAGGCAACGAUGCGUAGCCGACCUGAGAGGGUGAUCGGCCACACUGGAACUGAGACACGGUCCAGACUCCUACGGGAGGCAGCAGUAGGGAAUCUUCCGCAAUGGGCGAAAGCCUGACGGAGCAACGCCGCGUGAGUGAUGAAGGUCUUCGGAUCGUAAAACUCUGUUAUUAGGGAAGAACAUAUGUGUAAGUAACUGUGCACAUCUUGACGGUACCUAAUCAGAAAGCCACGGCUAACUACGUG